RNAcentral lists this ribosomal RNA (79 nucleotides) under Helianthus annuus (common sunflower). The record is from RNAcentral. Lineage: Eukaryota; Viridiplantae; Streptophyta; Magnoliopsida; Asterales; Asteraceae.
GGUUGCGAUCAUACCAGCACUAAUGCACCGGAUCCCAUCAGAACUCCGCAGUUAAGCGUGCUUGCUCGUGUUGCAACCC